RNAcentral lists this ribosomal RNA (427 nucleotides) under uncultured bacterium. RNAcentral describes it as "bacterial SSU rRNA". It matches the Rfam family "Bacterial small subunit ribosomal RNA", at positions 355 to 774 of the family's 1533-position model. The record is from RNAcentral.
UGGGGAAUUUUGGACAAUGGGCGCAAGCCUGAUCCAGCAAUGCCGCGUGCAGGAUGAAGGCCUUCGGGUUGUAAACUGCUUUUGUACGGAACGAAAAAGCUCUCUCUAAUACAGGGGGUGAAUGACGGUACCGUAAGAAUAAGCACCGGCUAACUACGUGCCAGCAGCCGCGGUAAUACGUAGGGUGCAAGCGUUAAUCGGAAUUACUGGGCGUAAAGCGUGCGCAGGCGGUUUUGUAAGACAGAGGUGAAAUCCCCGGGCUCAACCUGGGAACUGCCUUUGUGACUGCAAAGCUGGAGUGCGGCAGAGNGGGAUGGAAUUCCGCGUGUAGCAGUGAAAUGCGUAGAUAUGCGGAGGAACACCGAUGGCGAAGGCAAUCCCCUGGGCCUGCACUGACGCUCAUGCACGAAAGCGUGGGGAGCAAACA